ACGUAGGGAGCAAGCGUUGUCCGGAAUUACUGGGCGUAAAGGGCGCGUAGGUGGAUGUUUAAGUCAGAUGUGAAAACUCCGGGCUCAACUUGGAGACUGCAUUUGAAACUGGAUAUCUUGAGGGUAGGAGAGGAAAGUGGAAUUCCUAGUGUAGCGGUGAAAUGCGUAGAUAUUAGGAGGAACACCAGUGGCGAAGGCGACUUUCUGGACUAUACCUGACACUGAGGCGCGAAAGCGUGGGGAGCGAACGG
Molecule: ribosomal RNA, 251 nt
Filed under: uncultured bacterium
Lineage: Bacteria
Description: partial 16S ribosomal RNA
Rfam family: Bacterial small subunit ribosomal RNA
Source: RNAcentral